Molecule: ribosomal RNA, 315 nt
Filed under: uncultured bacterium
Lineage: Bacteria
Description: bacterial SSU rRNA
Rfam family: Bacterial small subunit ribosomal RNA
Source: RNAcentral
GACGAACGCUGGCGGCGCGCCUAACACAUGCAAGUCGAACGAGCGAGAGAGAGAGAGCUUGCUUUCUCAAGCGAGUGGCGAACGGGUGAGUAACGCGUGAGGAACCUGCCUCAAAGAGGGGGACAACAGUUGGAAACGACUGCUAAUACCGCAUAAGCCCACGACCCGGCAUCGGGUUGAGGGAAAAGGAGCAAUCCGCUUUGAGAUGGCCUCGCGUCCGAUUAGCUGGUUGGUGAGGUAACGGCCCACCAAGGCGACGAUCGGUAGCCGGACUGAGAGGUUGAACGGCCACAAGGGGACUGAGACACGGCCCUU